Molecule: ribosomal RNA, 500 nt
Filed under: uncultured bacterium
Lineage: Bacteria
Description: partial 16S ribosomal RNA
Rfam family: Bacterial small subunit ribosomal RNA
Source: RNAcentral
AUUGAACGCUGGCGGCAGGCCUAACACAUGCAAGUCGAGCGGAUGACGGGAGCUUGCUCCUUGAUUCAGCGGCGGACGGGUGAGUAAUGCCUAGCAAUCUGCCUGGUAGUGGGGGACAACGCUUCGAACGGAACGCUAAUACCGCAUACGUCCUACGGGAGAAAGCAGGGGACCUUCGGGCCUCGCGCUAUCAGAUGAGCCUAGGUCGGAUUAGCUAGUUGGUGGGGUAAUGGGUCACCAAGGCGACGAUCCGUAACUGGUAUGAGAGGACGAUCAGUCACACUGGAACUGAGACACGGUCCAGACUCCUACGGGAGGCAGCAGUGGGGAAUAUUGGACAAUGGGCGAAAGCCUGAUCCAGCCAUGCCGCGUGUGUGAAGAAGGUCUUCGGAUUGUAAAGCACUUUAAGUUGGGAGGAAGGGCAGUAAGUUAAUACCUUGCUGUUUUGACGUUACCGACAGAAUAAGCACCGGCUAACUCUGUGCCAGCAGCCGCCGCGG